GCCGGGGGGCGAUGGCGGGGCGGCGGGGGAGGGCCGCGGCGGCGGCGGGCUGAGGGGAACGGCGCUUCCCAGAGACAAGGCCCCUGUGCGGACGGGCCUCCGCCGGGGUCCGGACCGUGCGCCCGUUAGUGCGGAGCUACACGGCGUCGUAACGCGAGUGCAGUAGACAGAGGUGAGGGAGGGGGAAGGAAACCUUUUAAUCGGGUCUGCCAGACCCGGUCAGCAAAAACCAUUUCCAAGGCGGCCUACCAUAAGGGGGUGGUGAUCGUGACAUGUCCCGGCUGCGGCAGCCACCACGUCAUGGCCGACAACCUGGGCUGGUUCUCGGAUCUGCAGGGGAAGAGGGAAGUGUGUCUGUUCUUGAAAAAGGAGAGCGGUGAGCACGCUUUGUCUAGGAGGAGCCCAGCAGACGGUGUUUGAGCCAAAGACAAAGGAGCAGGGAGAAGCAGCCUUUCUCCUGAACUGGAGGUGUGCGAAGAUGGGGAAGAAGGUGCGGUGAAGGCCUGGUGCAGCAGAGCAGAGGAGAGCCACUGAAAGUGCAGCUGACCGGGGGCCGUGCCUCCUGCUGCCUUACACAGAGACAGCAGUUCUAAACCCCACCGUGCCUGGAUGUGCUGUGGAGGGCUCAGCUGUACCGAGGAUCCACUUGGGAGCCUCUCCGGGGGAUUUGCCUGCGGCACUGAAGUGGCCAUUGGACAGUGCCUGGGUUCUCCGGGCCAGCGUAUCCCUCCUGCAGGCUGAGAGCCUCUCUGGCCAGAUGAAGAUCAAUGAUGGCUGGAGCAGUAACAGCACGAGGCUCUGGGGAGGGGUGAGGUAAGUGCGGAGACUCAGCCCUGAUGUGACUUGGCAGAUGAGCAAUACAAAAAGCCCCGUGGGCCUGACAUCAGCCCUGCCUCCCGAGUGCCUCUCAGGGCACGUGUACAGCUGAGUAGGAGAGAGCAGUGCCUUGUGUUUCUGCUGGUUUUGUAGAGUUCCUCGUCACCUCCAGCCCUGCACCGGGGACAGCACCUUGCUCUGCGGCAACUCUGCACUUCACAGCUGCUGCAGCAGCGCUCCGUGCCAAACAGUGCCCUGAGCGAGAGAACAUUUACUGGACAGCAUGUGCUCCCUUCUCCAGCUGCUAAGGACAGCGAGAGACCACGGGAACAUACCUGCUUUGGCAGAACUCAUUACUGGAGUUUCUGAAGUCCAAGGUAGCCCGUCUGGUCAAGCAAAUUAAAAAUACUCCACCUCCUGAAGUUAGAUGCCUGCUCCCCUCUUCCCUGGGCUUGCUUUUCCAGCUGUUCCAAAAGGGUAAGGAAUGGAAGUAAAUGUAGACCCUUGCGCUUGCGUGGGGGGUGGAACUGACUUCCCAGCCAGCACCCCAGCGUGCAGCUCUCGUGAGGCUCCAUUUAUUGAAGACAGAUUGUGGAAAACCAGAGGGCCUUGCCGAGAGCAGCUCUGCCGGGGCCCGCAGGGACGGGGAGAAGCUCGGCACUGAUUUGGGGAGGAACAAGGGAAGGCAAGGGCUACUGGACACAAAAGGUUGCUCUCCUGACAAGCCGUGGACAGAACACUUUGCUGGCCCUGGAAGCAGGUCAUUGCCAAAUGAAGGCUUCUGCCUCGCGGCACACUCACCCCACACAGGACAAUCCUGCAAGAGACUUCUGGCUCAGCGGCACCGGAGGCGAUGAGUUGCCCACGUUGUGCUGAAACAGACGGGCAGAGAUUUCCUUCCUCCCUUCCCAGGCACAGGCCCCUGUCUCGGGGCUGCAGUUCGGGCUGCACAGCUGGCAGCUGCCUUUCAGGCUUUGUCCCAGGCUGAAGCUGCUCUUUGCUGGACGGCUGUACUCCAGAGGUAACCAAAUUCCACUAAAGCUCGGGACGAGCGAGGCCUUGCUCCUGCUCAGAAGGUCCCAGUACAGCUCUGCACAGGACUGCAGCUGGAGAAGCAGAGGGGGUGUCGCGGGGCUCACUGCAGAGUCCUCAGCAAACCUAAAAUAAACUUAUGGGUGUGUGGGACCAUGACUGCAGCUGGGGCAGGGGUGAGGUCUGAAAGGACCGGUGCAGCUUCUGAUUUGGGCUCACUUCCUCCUGUAGAAAGAACAAAGCUGAGCAAGAUGUUCCAGGGAAGGACCCAGAGGAAUUUGUGUCACCUCGUCAGGCAGGCAAGACAGGAGGACUUCAAAAUGGAAAAGGUGCUCUCUUCCCUUCCCUCAUUAAUUAAAAGUGUUGUGGAAAUAAAAGA
RNA transcript from Chroicocephalus ridibundus (black-headed gull), 2227 nucleotides. It is a transcript of the gene named DNL-type zinc finger, with no coding region annotated. The transcript has 7 exons. Lineage: Eukaryota; Metazoa; Chordata; Aves; Charadriiformes; Laridae. The record is from RefSeq and is a predicted model, not a curated record.